This is a non-coding RNA of Phascolarctos cinereus (koala), 759 nucleotides long. NCBI's taxonomy places the organism in Eukaryota, Metazoa, Chordata, Mammalia, Diprotodontia, Phascolarctidae. The record is from RefSeq and is a predicted model, not a curated record.
UCAGGCUGAUAUUGCUCUAGGCACAAUUCUGGCUAGUUAUGGCUCUGUCCUAGAUUUCACAAAAGGAAUUAAAACCGCAGGAAUCUCGAGGUCAUCUAGCCAAUGCCUGCCCCCUUCACCCAGACAGGAUCAUAGCGAAAGAAUCACAGAAUUUUAGCCCAAGAGUCAGGAAGUUCUCCCGUGACUAACCUAAUUCCCUCCCACUGCAAUUUAAGUCCUUUUCCUUUUGGGCUGUUCUCAGUGAAAACAGAGAACAGCUGCUCAUCAUACUCACCCCCAUCCAGCCCUUGGCUUCUCAUCAAAAAGUCAUGAAAAGACAUAUAGUAUUAGAAGCACAAGUGUGUUAGAAAGGACCUUCAAGAUCAACUUAUGGACUCUUAAGAACCUGCUCAAUGCAAUGACCAACUACAUUCCAGAGGACUGAUAAGGAAACAAGCUACCCAUUUCUGGACAGAGAAGAGAUAGAGGCCAGAUGGAGAACACAUGCUCAAGGAUAGAAUGGAGAAGGAGAGAUCAGCAAUAGUUCCACCAGCUCCAAGAAAAAAGAAUAGGGUCACUGAAACAUUUCAAAGAAAAUGGACAGAAGAGAAGAGAAAGAAAUUCAGAAGCAACACAGAAAAGCAAGCCAGCUUUGAAAGUAAUAAGCCGAAUUUAUUAUAUACUUGUUCUUUUAAAGCAAUUCAUAUGUAAUACAGAUUUGCAGUUACAUAGACAAUCCUCUUUUUCUGUUCUAGUUUGUAUAUGCACAUGUUAAUGGGG